This 771-nucleotide ribosomal RNA is filed under the name uncultured bacterium. RNAcentral describes it as "bacterial SSU rRNA". It matches the Rfam family "Bacterial small subunit ribosomal RNA", at positions 8 to 796 of the family's 1533-position model. The record is from RNAcentral.
AGAGUUUGAUCAUGGCUCAGGACGAACGCUGGCGGCGUUAACACAUGCAAGUCGAACGGUGAACCGCUUUCGGGUGGGGAUCAGUGGCGAACGGGUGAGUAACACGUGAGUAACCUGCCCUUCACUCUGGGAUAACUCCGGGAAACCGGGGCUAAUACUGGAUACGACCUACUCGGGCAUCCGAUGUGGGUGGAAAGAUUUAUUGGUGAGGGAUGGACUCGCGGCCUAUCAGCUUGUUGGUGAGGUAAUGGCUCACCAAGGCGACGACGGGUAGCCGGCCUGAGAGGGCGAUCGGCCACACUGGGACUGAGACACGGCCCAGACUCCUACGGGAGGCAGCAGUGGGGAAUAUUGCACAAUGGGCGAAAGCCUGAUGCAGCGACGCCGCGUGAGGGAUGAAGGCCUUCGGGUUGUAGACCUCUUUCAGCAGGGAAGAAGCGAAAGUGACGGUACCUGCAGAAGAAGCACCGGCUAACUACGUGCCAGCAGCCGCGGUAAUACGUAGGGUGCAAGCGUUGUCCGGAAUUAUUGGGCGUAAAGAGCUUGUAGGCGGUUUGUCGCGUCUGCUGUGAAAUUUCGGGGCUCAACCCCGAACUUGCAGUGGGUACGGGCAGACUAGAGUGUGGUAGGGGAGACUGGAAUUCCUGGUGUAGCGGUGAAAUGCGCAGAUAUCAGGAGGAACACCGAUGGCGAAGGCAGGUCUCUGGGCCAUAACUGACGCUGAGAAGCGAAAGCAUGGGGAGCGAACAGGAUUAGAUACCCUAGUAGUCC